GUGAAUCAUCAAAUCUUUGAACGCAAAUUGCACUCUCUUGGGAGAGUAUGCCCGUUUGAGGUCCAGCCUCUAAAAAUCGAUAUCGUUGCUGUUUCGCGGUGGCGAUCGUCGGAAACUGGGUCAUCUUAUAUACUUUUGAUUUAAGCGAUUCAAUAUUCUUUUUUGGUUCUAUGCACGUUUCUAAGAUCUAUUUCUUUACACGUUUAAGGUAUCGAUUUUUACUAGUUGCGACGAUCAUAUUGGAACGCGUCCAUAAUCUUACAUUAAUUG
This 270-nucleotide unclassified non-coding RNA is filed under the name Glomus sp. RNAcentral's name for it is "partial contains 5.8S ribosomal RNA and internal transcribed spacer 2". Lineage: Eukaryota; Fungi; Glomeromycota; Glomeromycetes; Glomerales; Glomeraceae. The record is from RNAcentral.